This is a long non-coding RNA of Brassica napus (rape), 1706 nucleotides long. RefSeq lists it as uncharacterized. The record is from RefSeq and is a predicted model, not a curated record. The transcript has 9 exons. NCBI's taxonomy places the organism in Eukaryota, Viridiplantae, Streptophyta, Magnoliopsida, Brassicales, Brassicaceae.
CCAUUUAUGUUGUUUGUCUGGUGGGCUCUUGCACUGAAAUUUCAGAGAUGGCCCAAUCUUAUUUUAUGGUUUGUAUCAGGUGAUACACGAGCUAUGCUCCUCCUCCCUGGCUCUCCGUCUUCUAGCAACUCAAAUCACCACCUCUGUAAUGUCAUCGGUAACUUCCUGCUGUGGCGCAUCAGGGGAUGGAUUCGCCAAUCGUCGUCUGACUGAUCUAGGCUUUGGUCCUCUCAGAUAUUUUUUAUCAUAUUUCCAGAAGAUUAAACGAGAUCUCCAAACGUGGGCAGCCAUGGCAAGCACCAAAGUCCAGUGGAUUAUGAUCCAACUAAUUGUUUCUUCAAAGUAAAGCUCGGACCCAAAUUUGGCUAUGUGAACACAAAGAUCUGGGCACAAAAGAAAUAUUAAUUGUUCAAGAGUUCCUGGUGUUCUCUUUGUGCUUAUGGACUCUUAUGUUGAUCUAGAGUACAAAAAAUAGAGAGCUAAAAACUCUAGCAUUUUCGUGGAUUUGGAUGUCAUUUGCAAAUAUAGAUCGAUCAUCAAUAAUUGGAGAUGCAAUCUAUUAUCUCAACGAACUUUUACAAAGGAUCAAUGAUCUUCACAACGAACUUGAGUCAACUCCACUUGGAUUUUUGCCUCAAGGUUCAACAAGCUUCCAUCCAUUAACACCUACACCUGAUACUCUAUCUUGCCGUGUGAAGAAAGAGUUAUGUCCCUCAUCUUAGCCAAGCCCUAAAGGCCAACAAGCAAGAGUAAAGCGUUGAGGUUAGAUAAGGGAAAGAAGAACAGUGAAAAUUCGCGUGAUUUGUUGUCAUAGACCUUGUCAUUUGCUAGCAACCGUGAAAACCUGAAUAAUCUUGGAUUUGGAUGUUCAGCAAGCGGUGAUUAGCUGUUCAAACUGGUUUUCCACGCUGAGGUUUCUAAUCAUUGAAAAAAAUCCAAGCGCCAUUGAAGUCAAAUUGUCUUCUUGGAGGCUACGAUCCUCGCCAUAGAGAGCCUUCUUACAGUGUAAAUGCUGUUCAAAACCCGUCGAGCAGAAGAUCCAGACCACAAAUCUAACAAGGCCGUAAAGCCAGACCAACCUCCACCAUUUGUCAAGGAAUUUGUGUCUAGAAAGAGGAGAGAAGCCAGCAACAAAGGAAGAAGAAGAAUAAGAAUAAGAGAAGCUAUCUAAGUUAACCAAAGAAAAAGAAGUUGAUUAAGAAAGAAGAGGAGAAGAGAAAACAAAAGACUAUGCAGAGAUGAAGUAGCAGCAUCAGUUGGAGGAGGAGAUAGCAAAAGCGAAAGAGGCAAAAGAGAGGAAGAAGAAGAGAGAAGAAAAGGAGAAGUCACCUAUUAACGCUCAGAAUGAAGCUAAAAAAUAAGAGAAGGUAAAUUUUCCUUUUUCACAAUAAAUUGAAGUCUUUCUCGCAAGUAUGUUCAUGUUGGGACAAAGGAAGAUUGAAAGACUCCAAGCAUGUCAUUGAUCUGAUGAAAAAACUCUAUUGUUCAACGGUGAAGGUACUGUGAAGAAGUCAUAUAUGGACUAAAGGGAACGAACCAGUUCUUUUCAUCUUAUUUUGUUUUAUUUUUUUCCUGAUUUUUGAUUUGUGUUCUUUUUUCUUGAGUUCCUUUGAUAAUUCUUGAUAGUGUAUUACAUAGAUUUGAUAGUGAUAUAAAAAAUGUAAUGGGGUUUAGUAUCCAUUAUCUUCUUUUGUUUUCUAUCAUCA